GUGAGUGAUGAAGGCUUUCGGGUCGUAAAACUCUGUUGUUAGGGAAGAACAAGUGCUAGUUGAAUAAGCUGGCACCUUGACGGUACCUAACCAGAAAGCCACGGCUAACUACGUGCCAGCAGCCGCGGUAAUACGUAGGUGGCAAGCGUUAUCCGGAAUUAUUGGGCGUAAAGCGCGCGCAGGUGGUUUCUUAAGUCUGAUGUGAAAGCCCACGGCUCAACCGUGGAGGGUCAUUGGAAACUGGGAGACUUGAGUGCAGAAGAGGAAAGUGGAAUUCCAUGUGUAGCGGUGAAAUGCGUAGAGAUAUGGAGGAACACCAGUGGCGAAGGCGACUUUCUGGUCUGUAACUGACACUGAGGCGCGAAAGCGUGGGGAGCAAACAGAAUUAGAUACCCUGGUAG
RNAcentral lists this ribosomal RNA (401 nucleotides) under Bacillus cereus. RNAcentral describes it as "bacterial SSU rRNA". It matches the Rfam family "Bacterial small subunit ribosomal RNA", at positions 401 to 793 of the family's 1533-position model. Lineage: Bacteria; Bacillati; Bacillota; Bacilli; Caryophanales; Bacillaceae. The record is from RNAcentral.